Molecule: long non-coding RNA, 388 nt
Organism: Paramormyrops kingsleyae
Lineage: Eukaryota; Metazoa; Chordata; Actinopteri; Osteoglossiformes; Mormyridae
Source: RefSeq, a predicted model, not a curated record
CUAAGGCCGUCGUCCGCCAUGUUGGUGCAUCUGGUCGAGGUCCUCUUAUAUACCGUUUUUCCGCGUUCGUCAAGGUUGUGUGUGCUGUUUUCGGCCGGACUAACAACAGUAUUCGCGACAAAGGGUUGAAGGGGUGAUAUUUACAGGUUGUGUGACUGGCAGGAUAGCAGGAAUAGUGAUGAGGUCUGGCAAGGCCGCCUCGCAUCAGAGCGUCCAUGAGGGACUGUACCUGCAGUCUGCCACAGAUGCCUCCGCUCUUCCAUGGGCACCACUACGCCGAGGCUCUGAGGCAGGCUCUUCCAUGGGCACCACUACGCCGAGGCUCUGAGGCAGGCUCUUCCAUGGGCACCACUACGCCGAGGCUCUGAGGCAGGCUCUUCCAUGGGCA